Anser brachyrhynchus (Pink-footed goose) is the source of this 1694-nucleotide long non-coding RNA. Lineage: Eukaryota; Metazoa; Chordata; Aves; Anseriformes; Anatidae. The record is from Ensembl.
AUAUAAAAAUCAAAACACUGGAAUUUAAGAACGAUCAAAAUUUGUAAUCUGGGGAGAAAAAAAAAAAACAAAAGAAAAAAAAAAGAGGAAUUGAACUGGGACCAUAAACAAGUAUACAACUGACCUUAAAUCUUCCUUGCUAUCUGUUUCUGAUGCUGUUUUUUUUAGUGGGGCUUGGUUUCCUAUCCUUUAUGAACCUUAUUAGCAGCAUUUAUAUGGUCUGUAUAUGCUUGUAUUUUUCUCCAACACACUAUAGUUUGCACAUUUGUGGGUGCAUAUAUCCGCACAAAAAUGGGAGUAUAGAAAGCUCAGGAGCUACUAGUGGAAGUUAUUAUUAAGCUAAUAUGUUAAUGGUAAUUUAUGUGCAGUAAAUAGAUAUUUUAUCCAGGUAAAUCAGAUCUCCUCGGACAACAGAGAAGACGGUUUUUCAUCCAAACAUCCCCAGGACCAAUUUAUGGCUUCUGCAGCCCACUAGCAGGUGGUUUGUCUGCAUGAGAUCAUACAGCAGCAGCCAUCCAAAGGAUUUCUGGUACCCCGCACUAAAUCAGAGUGAUCUGCUUUAGUUUCUUCAUGCCUGCUUUCUCACAUUCACAUGAAGAGCCCACACAACCAGGGAGAGCUGGCUGACUAAUGGGUGAUAGAGAGGAAACAGUGACAGGCAGGAAGGCAGCAGUGGGGCACAUGGGUCCAGCGGAGAGUGGGAUGCGGGGGCUCGCCCCUAGCUGCUUGUUGCAUCUUCCCAGGGUCAUCAUUUGCACUCCUGAACACAUUUCAUCUGCCAGCUCUGCUGUAACCCCACAGCUUGAAAUUCAACUUGGUGUCUCAAAUGGGUAUUGGAUGUAGUAAGGUGGCUGUUGUGCGUGAAGUGUCACACAUUGUUAAGGCUUGUGCUCUAAUUAACUCAAAGUGGCAUAGACCAGGAUUGUAUAAUUGUGUCCUUAUUAACACGUGAGGCUUGACAGGAAUUACUGGGCUUGGUUAAUGUUAAUGUUCAACAAGUUAAUUUGAUGUAAGUGAAUCAAUAUCUUUCCCAAUGUCAUGUUAAGUUAAACAUACAUAAAAUAUCAAAAAAAAAAAAAGAAAAGGCUAACUUUUCUUCUUAUUGAGGCUGAUGUGCCUUAGGUUUCUUUAAAAGGAAACAAAAGUAGGAAUCCUUACCUAUCCAUAGCAUUUGAGAUCAGAUCAUCUGAGGCUUUCUCUCUCCAAACUGACGUGCCUCUGAUACUUUACUACAGAGUUAGACAACAACUUAGCCUCUGAGAAGCGUUGUUUCCUAUGUGCAUGUUUUGAGGUGUAAAUUCUGUUGAAUGCUCCAUAGCAGUUUUGUAGAUCUGGUGCUCACAUAUCCCUUGUCAUUAAUCCUGGAAAUAAUUUCUAAAGCUGGAAUUCCAUUUUUAAGUUCAUCCUCCUCUCAGGACAGACUGGUUAAAUCCACUACCUGAGUUCCUGCUCAAAAGCCAGCAUUGCUUGCAGGUGGAGACAUCAACACUGUGUACCAACGUUAGCUCAGUCUUCCCAAAAAGCACAGGGAUUGCUCGGCUGAGUCCAGCUCCAUCAAAGUAGUUUUAUGUGGUUUUAAAAACAGCCCAGUGACACGUAGAGGAAACAUGCAGCAGCCAAUUUGCUCCUUUUGCAUAGCUGGGAGCCAGAGGUUGGAGAAUAAAUUCAGUCUACAGUGGGUAAAUAUGGGGAGG